This 430-nucleotide ribosomal RNA is filed under the name Bacteroidota bacterium. RNAcentral's name for it is "Bacteroidetes bacterium partial 16S ribosomal RNA". It matches the Rfam family "Bacterial small subunit ribosomal RNA", at positions 355 to 776 of the family's 1533-position model. Lineage: Bacteria; Pseudomonadati; Bacteroidota. The record is from RNAcentral.
UAGGGAAUCUUCGGCAAUGGGGGGAACCCUGACCGAGCAACGCCGCGUGAGUGAAGAAGGUUUUCGGAUCGUAAAGCUCUGUUGUUAAGGAAGAACGAGUGUGAGAAUGGAAAGUUCAUGCUGUGACGGUACUUAACCAGAAAGGGACGGCUAACUCCGUGCCAGCAGCCGCGGUAAUACGGAGGAUACGAGCGUUAUCCGGAUUGAUUGGGUUUAAAGGGUGCGUAGGUGGCUGAUUAAGUCAGUGGUGAAAAGCUAUGGCUCAACCAUAGUCUUGCCGUUGGUACUGGUUAGCUUGAGUGUAGAUGAUGUAGGCAGAAUGCGUAGUGUAGCGGUGAAAUGCAUAGAUAUUACGCAGAACUCCGAUUGCGAAGGCAGCUUACAAGACUACUACUGACACUGAGGCACGAAAGCGUGGGUAUCAAACAGG